Molecule: ribosomal RNA, 838 nt
Filed under: Heyndrickxia coagulans
Lineage: Bacteria; Bacillati; Bacillota; Bacilli; Caryophanales; Bacillaceae
Description: bacterial SSU rRNA
Rfam family: Bacterial small subunit ribosomal RNA
Source: RNAcentral
GACGUUUUAAAAGCUUGCUUUUAAAAGGUUAGCGGCGGACGGGUGAGUAACACGUGGGCAACCUGCCUGUAAGAUCGGGAUAACGCCGGGAAACCGGGGCUAAUACCGGAUAGUUUUUUCCUCCGCAUGGAGGAAAAAGGAAAGACGGCUUUUGGCUGUCACUUACAGAUGGGCCCGCGGCGCAUUAGCUWGUUGGUGGGGGUAACGGCUCACCAAGGCAACGAUGCGUAGCCGACCUGAGAGGGYGAUCGGCCACAUUGGGACUGAGACACGGCCCAAACUCCUACGGGAGGCAGCAGUAGGGAWUCUUUCCGCAAUGGACGAAAGUCUGACGGAGCAACGCCCGCCGUGAGUGAAGAAGGGCYUUCGGGUCGUAAAAACUUCUGUUUGCCCGGGGGAAGUAACAAAGUGGCCGUUUCGAAACAGGGGCGGGYGCCCUUGACGGUACCCGGCCAGAAAGCCACGGCUAACUACGUGCCAGCAGCCGCGGUAAUACGUAGGUGGCAAGCGUUGUCCGGAAUUAUUGGGCGUAAAGCGCGCGCAGGCGGCUUCUUAAGUCUGAUGUGAAAUCUUGCGGCUCAACCGCAGCGGGUCAUUGGAAACUGGGAGGCUUGAGUGCAGAAGAGGAGAGUGGAAUUCCACGUGUAGCGGUGAAAUGCGUAGAGAUGUGGAGGAACACCAGUGGCGAAGGCGGCUCUCUGGUCUGUAACUGACGCUGAGGCGCGAAAGCGUGGGGAGCAAACAGGAUUAGAUACCCUGGUAGUCCACGCCGUAAACGAUGAGUGCUAAGUGUUAGAGGGUUUCCGCCCUUUAGUGCUGCAGCUAACGCAUUAAGCAC